CAACUUUCAACAACGGAUCUCUUGGUUCUGGCAUCGAUGAAGAACGCAGCGAAAUGCGAUACGUAGUGUGAAUUGCAGAAUUCCGUGAAUCAUCGAAUCUUUGAACGCACAUUGCGCCCUUUGGUAUUCCAAAGGGCAUGCCUGUUCGAGCGUCAUUU
RNAcentral lists this ribosomal RNA (158 nucleotides) under Bipolaris sp. Its description in RNAcentral is "5.8S ribosomal RNA". It matches the Rfam family "5.8S ribosomal RNA". Rfam says of the family: 5.8S ribosomal RNA (5.8S rRNA) is a component of the large subunit of the eukaryotic ribosome. It is transcribed by RNA polymerase I as part of the 45S precursor that also contains 18S and 28S rRNA. Functionally, it is thought that 5.8S rRNA may be involved in ribosome translocation. Lineage: Eukaryota; Fungi; Ascomycota; Dothideomycetes; Pleosporales; Pleosporaceae. The record is from RNAcentral.